GGCCGCGGGAAUUCCUUUCAGGCCUAACACAUGCAAGUCGAGCGGUAGAGAGACCCUUGCUUCUCUUGAGAGCGGCGGACGGGUGAGUAAUGCCUAGGAAUCUGCCUGGUAGUGGGGGAUAACGUUCGGAAACGGACGCUAAUACCGCAUACGUCCUACGGGAGAAAGCAGGGGACCUUCGGGCCUUGCGCUAUCAGAUGAGCCUAGGUCGGAUUAGCUAGUUGGUGAGGUAAUGGCUCACCAAGGCGACGAUCCGUAACUGGUCUGAGAGGAUGAUCAGUCACACUGGAACUGAGACACGGUCCAGACUCCUACGGGAGGCAGCAGUGGGGAAUAUUGGACAAUGGGCGAAAGCCUGAUCCAGCCAUGCCGCGUGUGUGAAGAAGGUCUUCGGAUUGUAAAGCACUUUAAGUUGGGAGGAAGGGCAGUUACCUAAUACGUGAUUGUUUUGACGUUACCGACAGAAUAAGCACCGGCUAACUCUGUGCCAGCAGCCGCGGUAAUACAGAGGGUGCAAGCGUUAAUCGGAAUUACUGGGCGUAAAGCACGCGUAGGUGGUUAGUUAAGUUGGAUGUGAAAUCCCCGGGCUCAACCUGGGAACUGCAUUCAAAACUGACUGACUAGAGUAUGGUAGAGGGUGGUGGAAUUUCCUGUGUAGCGGUGAAAUGCGUAGAUAUAGGAAGGAACACCAGUGGCGAAGGCGACCACCUGGACUGAUACUGACACUGAGGUGCGAAAGCGUGGGGAGCAAACAGGAUUAGAUACCCUGGUAAUCCACCCCGUAAACGAUGUCAACUAACCCGUUGGGG
RNAcentral lists this ribosomal RNA (809 nucleotides) under uncultured bacterium. Its description in RNAcentral is "bacterial SSU rRNA". It matches the Rfam family "Bacterial small subunit ribosomal RNA", at positions 21 to 829 of the family's 1533-position model. The record is from RNAcentral.